This 254-nucleotide ribosomal RNA is filed under the name uncultured bacterium. RNAcentral's name for it is "partial 16S ribosomal RNA". It matches the Rfam family "Bacterial small subunit ribosomal RNA", at positions 524 to 776 of the family's 1533-position model. The record is from RNAcentral.
UACGGGGGGAGCAAGCGUUGUUCGGAUUUACUGGGCGUAAAGGGCGCGUAGGCGGCCACCGCAAGUCAGUUGUGAAAUCUCUGGGCUUAACCCAGAAAGGUCAACUGAUACUGCGGGGCUAGAGUGCAGAAGGGGCAACUGGAAUUCUCGGUGUAGCGGUGAAAUGCGUAGAUAUCGAGAGGAACACCUGCGGCAAAGGCGGGUUGCUGGGCUGACACUGACGCUGAAGCGCGAAAGCUAGGGGAGCGAACGGG